ACUUUAAUUGAAGAGUUUGAUCAUGGCUCAGAUUGAACGCUGGCGGCAGGCCUAACACAUGCAAGUCGAGCGGAAACGGCAGUAUUGAAGC
Molecule: ribosomal RNA, 91 nt
Filed under: Salinivibrio sp. AR640
Lineage: Bacteria; Pseudomonadati; Pseudomonadota; Gammaproteobacteria; Vibrionales; Vibrionaceae
Also listed under: 1 other name
Description: partial 16S ribosomal RNA
Rfam family: Bacterial small subunit ribosomal RNA
Source: RNAcentral